RNAcentral lists this ribosomal RNA (301 nucleotides) under uncultured bacterium. Its description in RNAcentral is "partial 16S ribosomal RNA". It matches the Rfam family "Bacterial small subunit ribosomal RNA", at positions 509 to 807 of the family's 1533-position model. The record is from RNAcentral.
CAGCAGCCGCGGUAAUACGUAGGUGGCAAGCGUUGUCCGGAAUUAUUGGGCGUAAAGGGCUCGCAGGCGGCUUCUUAAGUCUGAUGUGAAAGCCCCCGGCUCAACCGGGGAGGGUCAUUGGAAACUGGGAAACUUGAGUGCAGAAGAGGAGAGUGGAAUUCCACGUGUAGCGGUGAAAUGCGUAGAGAUGUGGAGGAACACCAGUGGCGAAGGCGACUCUCUGGUCUGUAACUGACGCUGAGGAGCGAAAGCGUGGGGAGCGAACAGGAUUAGAUACCCGCGUAGUCCCUGUCUCUUAUAC